UGGGUGAUCACAGCUCUCUUCUCACACAGGGCUGAGGUCUCUGGGGAAGGCAGAACUGUGCUCUAGAAGAAAAUGAGAUUGCUGGGUCUUCUCCUGUGCCUGGUGACAGCCCCCCAGGGUGCCCUGUCUCAGGUGCAGCUUAAGGAGUCAGGCCCAGGACUGGUGAAGCCAUCACAGACCCUCUCACUUACUUGCACUGUCUCUGGUUACUCCAUAACCAGUGGUUACUAUUGGAGCUGGAUCCGCCAGAUCCCAGGGAGGGGGCUGGAGUGGAUCGGGUACAUAAGUAGUAGUGGAAGCACUUACUACAGUCCGGCUCUCAAGAGCCGCACCACCAUUUCCAGAGACACGUCCAAGAACCAGUUCUCCCUGCAGCUGAGUUCCAUGACCACCGAAGACACAGCUGUGUAUUACUGUGCAAGAGACACAGUGAGGGGAAGUGAGGGCAUCUCGCACAAAAACCUUUUUGUAGGAAACUGGAGGGCUGGGCUGCAGGGAACGCUCAGAACACCAGGGGGCGCUCACGUAGCAGGCAGCCCAGUGGAAAACAACUCUGAAUCUGGUCAACAGAAUCUGACAUCCCAGGACCACUUUUCUGAGUCCCCUUUUCCUGCAUCAGACCCUGCUUGUGCUGCUGGGGAGAUACUGGUCCAGUGA
Molecule: non-coding RNA, 657 nt
Organism: Artibeus jamaicensis (Jamaican fruit-eating bat)
Lineage: Eukaryota; Metazoa; Chordata; Mammalia; Chiroptera; Phyllostomidae
Source: the annotation of a RefSeq genome assembly